UGGGUCUUCCAGAGUGGAAAGCCGAAGUGUUUCCACACGGCCAAUCCGACUGACAUUCUAAAGUGGUUAGAAGAAAACCUUAUACUAAUCCGUGAUGAUAAGUCUCGAAAAAAUAGUUACAUUCAAGCAAAACCACUAUUCGGCUAUGCUUAACGCAUCCGUCCAUCGAAGACUGAUAGUAAAGAAUUUACCCAAAAUCCUAGCGGUCGACUUGCGCUAGAAAAGCUCUUGAAGAGUAACAGCUUACCAUCUGAACUUAGUGACGAAAGUUCAUAACCCUGUAUGUCCAUCUCUAUUUGGUUAUAUGAAAAAAAACAGCCAGUUAGUAUCAGACUAAUAGUGGAAACUAGAAGGUCGACGUUGCACAACAUAGAUAAUGCAUUUUCCAGUUUUUAUGACUACACCACUAGUCCUCAGACGACUUUUUGUAAGAAUAACGACAUGCCAUCAUACAACAAUCAUAUCACAAUUCGGGAUUUUGAGAAAUUGUACUUUUCAGUUAAGCUCUCGACAAUUUACUUGGCUUUAUAUAGGUUUUUACUCCAAACUUUGAAAGUUCUACAG
This 564-nucleotide long non-coding RNA is filed under the name Androctonus crassicauda. The record is from RNAcentral. Lineage: Eukaryota; Metazoa; Arthropoda; Arachnida; Scorpiones; Buthidae.